RNAcentral lists this ribosomal RNA (369 nucleotides) under uncultured bacterium. Its description in RNAcentral is "bacterial SSU rRNA". It matches the Rfam family "Bacterial small subunit ribosomal RNA", at positions 527 to 896 of the family's 1533-position model. The record is from RNAcentral.
GUAGGUGGCAAGCGUUGUCCGGAAUUAUUGGGCGUAAAGCGCGCGCAGGCGGAUCAGUCAGUCUGUCUUAAAAGUUCGGGGCUUAACCCCGUGAUGGGAUGGAAACUGCUGAUCUAGAGUAUCGGAGAGGAAAGUGGAAUUCCUAGUGUAGCGGUGAAAUGCGUAGAUAUUAGGAAGAACACCAGUGGCGAAGGCGACUUUCUGGACGAAACUGACGCUGAGGCGCGAAAGCCAGGGGAGCGAACGGGAUUAGAUACCCCGGUAGUCCUGGCCGUAAACGAUGGGUACUAGGUGUAGGAGGUAUCGACCCCUUCUGUGCCGGAGUUAACGCAAUAAGUACCCCGCCUGGGGAGUACGACCGCAAGGUUG